RNAcentral lists this small RNA (27 nucleotides) under Bombyx mori (domestic silkworm). Its description in RNAcentral is "ovarian small RNA-17375". The record is from RNAcentral. Lineage: Eukaryota; Metazoa; Arthropoda; Insecta; Lepidoptera; Bombycidae.
GGCACUGAAAUUUUCGGGAAUUAACGA